Long non-coding RNA from Lolium perenne, 858 nucleotides. RefSeq lists it as uncharacterized. The record is from RefSeq and is a predicted model, not a curated record. NCBI's taxonomy places the organism in Eukaryota, Viridiplantae, Streptophyta, Magnoliopsida, Poales, Poaceae.
CAUACUUUUAUGAAAUCACAACUUCAGGGAUUCAAACAAUUGCAAGCUCGCAUUGGUGAAUCAAUACACACGACCAAGCCAUGGUGAUCAGAUGUAUCACGAGUUGCUGACAAUUUUUGCUGCGUGGAGUGAGCUUUUCUCCGUGCCAAUCAUGCAUCAAAGUUAUAGCACAACUCGCUGACACAUCCCUGUAUUGUAAAAGUAGUUUGCUCUUCUGGUGAUGGUUGAGAGAGAAGAAGAAGCACGCGCGAGCAUGGGCGACACUUAUGAUGGGUUUUUGUCACCGGAGGAGCUACGGUAACGAGCUGGUGCUGCCGGCGAGACCGCGAUAGUCAAGCGAAUGAGAUGGUGAGACCGCGAGAGUCAAGACGGCGAGCCGGGGAGCAGGUCUUCCCCUCCCUGCUGCCUCUGGCCGCGGUGGAGAGGCAUGGCACAGGUUCCUCUGGCGAUGGUUCCCUGCUAACCAGGCAUGUGAAUGAGGUAUUAGAAAAACAUGGAACUGAGCUGAUUUAUUUUGUGUAGGUACAUAACUUUAGGCCUACUUGAACCUCAACUUUUCUAUUGAAGGAAGUACAUCACUUCAUUCAGAAAACUCUUCGAUUGCAGAGAAGAAUAUUUUGGAACACAUGUCAAAGAAGAAUAUAUACUCAUAUUGUCACAGUUUCAUGAGACGAUGUUCAAUGAAAAAACACUUGUGGAGCAGCUGCAACACUUAGAACCAUGCUAUUAUGGUGCUUCACUUUCGUCUUCUCUUUAUAUGUCUGUAUCAAUUUGUGUGCUGGACAUUGUCUACUGACCGUAUGGGAGCAUGGCCGAUUGCGCUGCUUUACGAAUGGGCAUGGAUGGGAGGAUGCUUUU